GGGGUGUAGCCUAGAAGAUGAGACUCCUGGGUCUUCUGUACCUGGUGACUGCCCUUCCUGCUGUCCUGUCCCAGAUCCAGCUUCAGGAGUCAGGACCUGGCCUGGUGAAGCCCUCACAAUCGCUGUCCCUCACUUGCUCUGUCACUGGUUACUCCAUCUCCAAUGAUUACUACUGGAACUGGAUCAGGCAGUUCCCAGGGAAGAAGCUGGAGUGGAUGGGGUACAUAAGUUAUAGUGGUAGCACUUACUACAACCCAUCCCUCCAGAGCCGCAUCUCCAUCACCAGGGAUACAUCCAAGAACCAGUUCUUCCUGCAGCUGAACUCUGUGACCUCUGAGGACACAGCCACUUAUUACUGUGCAAGAGACACAGUGAAGCAAGUUCAUCAUGAGCUCAGACACAAACUGCCCUGCAGUGGAGCUCUGCGCCAGCAGGGGGCGGUCAGCCAUAACCAAGCCCAGGUACUUUAA
Phodopus roborovskii (desert hamster) is the source of this 470-nucleotide non-coding RNA. The record is from the annotation of a RefSeq genome assembly. NCBI's taxonomy places the organism in Eukaryota, Metazoa, Chordata, Mammalia, Rodentia, Cricetidae.